RNAcentral lists this ribosomal RNA (406 nucleotides) under uncultured bacterium. Its description in RNAcentral is "partial 16S ribosomal RNA". It matches the Rfam family "Bacterial small subunit ribosomal RNA", at positions 30 to 526 of the family's 1533-position model. The record is from RNAcentral.
AUUGAACGCUGGCGGCAGGCCUACCCAAUGAAAGUCGGGCGAGGGGCGGCCGGUGGAGUAAUGAAUGGGGAUCUGCCUGAGGGAGGGGGAUAACUCCUGGAACGGUUAGCUAAUACCGCAUACAAUCAGAUGAACCCAUAUGGGAUUAGCUUGUAGGUGGGGUAACGGCUCACCUAGGCGAGGAUCCCUAGCUGGUCUGAGAGGAUGAUCAGCCACACUGGGACUGAGACACGGCCCAGACUCCUACGGGAGGCAGCAGUGGGGAAUAUUGCACAAUGGGCGCAAGCCUGAUGCAGCCAUGCCGCGUGUAUGAAGAAGGCCUUCGGGUUGUAAAGUACUUUCAGUCGGGAGGCGUUACCGACAGAAGAAGCACCGGCUAACUCCGUGCCAGCAGCCGCGGUAAUUC